UACGAAGGGGGCUAGCGUUGUUCGGAAUUACUGGGCGUAAAGCGCGCGUAGGCGGAUCGCUAAGUCAGGGGUGAAAUCCCACGGCUCAACCAUGGAAGUGCAUUCGAAACUGCGUAGCUAGAGUUUUGGAGAGGAAGGCGGAAUACUCGGUGUAGAGGUGAAAUUCGUAGAUAUCGAGUGGAACACCGGUGGCGAAGGCGGCCUUCUGGACAAUGACUGACGCUGGAACGCGAAAGCGUGGGGAGCGAACGGG
RNAcentral lists this ribosomal RNA (253 nucleotides) under uncultured bacterium. Its description in RNAcentral is "partial 16S ribosomal RNA". It matches the Rfam family "Bacterial small subunit ribosomal RNA", at positions 524 to 776 of the family's 1533-position model. The record is from RNAcentral.